RNAcentral lists this ribosomal RNA (500 nucleotides) under uncultured bacterium. RNAcentral describes it as "partial 16S ribosomal RNA". It matches the Rfam family "Bacterial small subunit ribosomal RNA", at positions 30 to 523 of the family's 1533-position model. The record is from RNAcentral.
AUUGAACGCUGGCGGAAUGCUUUACACAUGCAAGUCGAACGGCAGCACGGACUUCGGUCUGGUGGCGAGUGGCGAACGGGUGAGUAACAUAUCGGAACGUAUCCAAUAAUGGGGGAUAACGAGUCGAAAGAUUCGCUAAUACCGCAUACGCCCUACGGGGGAAAGCUGGGGACCUUCGGGCCUGGCGUUAAUGGAGCGGCCGCUAUCUGAUUAGCUAGUUGGUGAGGUAAAGGCUCACCCAGGCGACGAUCAGUAGCUGGUCUGAGAGGACGACCGGCCCCACUGGAACUGGGACACGGGCCGAACUCCUAAGGGAGGAGGGAGUGGGGAAUCUUGGACGAUGUGCGCAAGCCUGAUCCAGCCAUUCCGCGUGAGUGAAGAAGGCCUUCGGGUUGUAGAGCUCAUUCGCAAGGGAAGAAAACUUAGCCACUAACAUUGGUGGAGGUUGACGGUACCUUGAUAAGAAGCACCGGCUAACUACGUGCCAGCAGCCGCCGUAA